GACGAACGCUGGCGGCGUGCUUAACACAUGCAAGUCGAACGGAAAGGCCCUGCUUUUGUGGGGUGCUCGAGUGGCGAACGGGUGAGUAACACGUGAGUAACCUGCCCUUGACUUUGGGAUAACUUCAGGAAACUGGGGCUACUACCGGAUAGGAUCUCCUGCUGCAUGGUGGGGGUUGGAAAGUUUCAGCGGUUGGGGAUGGACUCGCGGCUUAUCAGCUUGUUGGUGGGGUAUUGGCUUACCAAGGCGUUGACGGGUAGCCGGCCUGAGAGGGUGACCGGCAACAUUAGGACUGAGAUAAGGAACAGACUACUACGGGAGGCAGCAGUGGGGAGUAUUGCACAAUGAGCGGAAGCCUGAUGCAGCAACGCAGCGUGCGGGAUAUCGGCGUUCGGGGUGUAAACCACUUUCACCGGUGACGAAGCGUGAGUGACGGUAAUAGGUAAAGAAGCACCGGCUAACUACGUG
Molecule: ribosomal RNA, 468 nt
Filed under: uncultured bacterium
Lineage: Bacteria
Description: partial 16S ribosomal RNA
Rfam family: Bacterial small subunit ribosomal RNA
Source: RNAcentral